Molecule: non-coding RNA, 615 nt
Filed under: Zea mays
Lineage: Eukaryota; Viridiplantae; Streptophyta; Magnoliopsida; Poales; Poaceae
Source: RNAcentral
AAAAGAUCUGCAGAUGGUAACGUGCAUUCAAGUAUAUUUUUUCCAGAAUUGCAGGCCCUUGAAUUCUCUCACCGACCUUCCCUUCAGGAAUGGCAUCUAUACUACUAGCUAUAAAGAGAGAGAGCCCAUCAAUCAUCAGCACGUCUGUGUCCCUCUCGUAGCCUCGCUCUCCCUUUCUCAGCGGCGCUUCUCCUCUCUUCCUCAAGCUGUGGCCGCAAGCUCUCUCAUCAGCCAUGGCCGCCGGGCGUCGGCGCCGGCGGACCUCCCUCGCCCGCGGCCUAACAUUAGGCUCGGGGACUAUGGUGCAGCCAAGGAUGACUUGCCGAUCGAUGUGACGCCUCUUGAUCUCGUCGUCGUCAGAUCGUCGCCGAUCAUCGGCAAGUUGUUCUUGGCUACACCGUGGCUCCUGCUCCUGAUGUAAGGCUCCGUCUACGGCGACACUUGGCCGUCAGAUGAUCGACGACAAGCAAGGCCAAUCAAGGUAUUUAUAUAUACACACACAUAUAGUUCUACAACAUCGUCUGUUCUAAUAAUCAUCAUAUAUGCCAACGCUUUCACUCGCGCGCUGCUCUGAAAUGCGCUAAUAAUAAAGGUGCUGGUACUAUUCCGAUCAAA